GACGAACGCUGGCGGCGUGCCUAAUACAUGCAAGCAGAACGCUGAAGCUUGGUGCUUGCACCGAGCGGAUGAGUUGCGAACGGGUGAGUAACGCGUAGGUAACCUGCCUGGUAGCGGGGGAUAACUAUUGGAAACGAUAGCUAAUACCGCAUAAGAGUAGAUGUUGCAUGACAUUUGCUUAAAAGGUGCAAUUGCAUCACUACCAGAUGGACCUGCGUUGUAUUAGCUAGUUGGUGAGGUAACGGCUCACCAAGGCAACGAUACAUAGCCGACCUGAGAGGGUGAUCGGCCACACUGGGACUGAGACACGGCCCAGGCUCCUACGGGAGGCAGCAGUAGGGAAUCUUCGGCAAUGGACGGAAGUCUGACCGAGCAACGCCGCGUGAGUGAAGAAGGGUUUCGGAUCGUAAAGCUCUGUUGUAAGAGAAGAACGAGUGUGAGAGUGGAAAGUUCACACUGUGACGGUAUCUUACCAGAAAGAGACGGCUAACUACGUG
RNAcentral lists this ribosomal RNA (497 nucleotides) under uncultured bacterium. RNAcentral's name for it is "partial 16S ribosomal RNA". It matches the Rfam family "Bacterial small subunit ribosomal RNA", at positions 28 to 507 of the family's 1533-position model. The record is from RNAcentral.